CUCAGGCUCAUCAUCGUCUUCAAUAUCCCAACUCAAAUCCUCAUCAUCUUCUUCCGCAACACUCAAUCUCUUCCCUGUAUCAGUCUUGCUCGCACUCUCACCAUGAUCAACUUUCUUCUCAUCAUUACCUUCAACAUCAUCAAUCUCAUCCCAUUCAAGAUCCUCCUCUUCUCUCGACAAAGUCCGAGCAGGCACAGCCGAGACAUUACUCUCUUUAUUAGAUUCAACUUCAUUAACCACCCCCUGAUCAGAUUCCUUCACCAACUUCUCAUUAUUCCCUUCAUCCUUCACCAACUUCUCAUUAUUCCCUUCAUCCUUCACCACCACCUCCUUCCCUUCCACUACAUUUCCCUCAUCACCUUCCGCAACCUCUUUCCCGCUCCCUCCACUACUCUCAGCUCCCACUAAGCCCACAUUCGUCUCUUCACCCUCACCCUCAUUCUCCUCCCCGUCCUCCUCAUC
Molecule: long non-coding RNA, 462 nt
Filed under: Daucus carota (carrot)
Lineage: Eukaryota; Viridiplantae; Streptophyta; Magnoliopsida; Apiales; Apiaceae
Description: long non-coding RNA (DCAR_LNC003311)
Source: RNAcentral